RNAcentral lists this ribosomal RNA (492 nucleotides) under uncultured bacterium. RNAcentral's name for it is "partial 16S ribosomal RNA". It matches the Rfam family "Bacterial small subunit ribosomal RNA", at positions 29 to 507 of the family's 1533-position model. The record is from RNAcentral.
AGUGAACGCUGGCGGUAGGCUUAACACAUGCAAGUCGAACGGCAGCAACCUAAGAGCUUGCUUUUACGGGUUGCGAAUCGCGGACGGGUGAGGAAUACAUCGGAAUCUACUUUCUCGUGUGGGAUAACGUAGUGAAACUUACUAUCAUACCUCAUCCGACCUACGGUUGCAAGCAUUGGAUCUUCGUACCUUGCGCGAUUGACUGACCCCCUGUCGGAUUAGCUAGUUGGCGGGGUCAAGGCCCACCAAGGCGACGAACCGUAGCUGGACUGAGAGGAUGAUCAGCCACACUGGGACUGAGACACGGUACAGAGUACUACGGGAGGGAGCAGUGGGGUAUAUUAGACAGUAGGCGCAAACCUGAUCCAGCCAGACCGCGUGGGAGGCAGAGGCCUUCGGGUUGUAAAGCCGGUUUGUUGGGAAAAAAAAGCUGUAAGUAAAUAACAAGCUGUUGUGACGGUACCUAAAGAAGAAGCGCCGGCUAACUACGUG